AGAGAAUAGAUACCCGGGUAGUCCACGCCGUAAACGAUGGAUGCUAGCCGUCGGAUAGCUUGCUAUUCGGUGGCGCAGCUAACGCAUUAAGCAUCCCGCCUGGGGAGUACGGCCGCAAGGUUAAAACUCAAAGGAAUUGACGGGGCCGCACAAGCGGUGGAGCAUGUGGUUUAAUUACGACGCAACGCGAAGAACCUUACCAGCUCUUGACAUUCACUGAUUGCCUGGAGAGAUCCGGGAGUCCUAGCAAUAGGCAGUGGGACAGGUGCUGCAUGGCUGUCGUCAGCUCGUGUCGUGAGAUGUUGGGUUUAAGUCCCGCAACGAGCGCAACCCUCGCCAUUAGUUGCCAUCAUUCAGUUGGGCACUCUAGUGGGACUGCCGGUGAUAAGCCGGAGGAAGGUGGGGAUGACGUCAAGUCAUCAUGGCCC
This 428-nucleotide ribosomal RNA is filed under the name uncultured bacterium. RNAcentral describes it as "bacterial SSU rRNA". It matches the Rfam family "Bacterial small subunit ribosomal RNA", at positions 774 to 1201 of the family's 1533-position model. The record is from RNAcentral.